RNAcentral lists this transfer RNA (68 nucleotides) under Aristelliger cf. expectatus. Its description in RNAcentral is "tRNA-Val". The record is from RNAcentral. Lineage: Eukaryota; Metazoa; Chordata; Lepidosauria; Squamata; Sphaerodactylidae.
CAGAGGGUAACCUAAACACUUAAGGUGCUCAACUUACAAUUGAAAAAUGUUCCCACGAACCCCCCUGG